Molecule: transfer RNA, 73 nt
Filed under: Neotoma lepida (desert woodrat)
Lineage: Eukaryota; Metazoa; Chordata; Mammalia; Rodentia; Cricetidae
Rfam family: tRNA
About the family: Transfer RNA (tRNA) molecules are approximately 80 nucleotides in length. Their secondary structure includes four short double-helical elements and three loops (D, anti-codon, and T loops).
Source: Rfam by way of RNAcentral
GUGGAUGUAGCUCAGUUGGUAGAGUAGUUGUCUGGCAUGGGGUAGACCCUGGGUUCAAUUCCCAGUGUCCCUC